ACUGGCCUCAAAUGUGUUGGUAAUGUCACACCUUCUUGUUUCCUACACCCCCGGAAGGCGCGUAUAUAAGGGAAUUUUUCGAAUUAAAGGACAAUCGAAACAGAAUUUAUUAUUUAAAGGUUCAGAGUCGCCACUUGGGAGAUUUAUGGUGUCCCAGGUCACCGGCUUCAAAUCCCGAAUCGAGGAGAGGAUUGACUCUGUAUUACAGUCUACCAACCAGAAAUCUAGGUAAGAAAUUCUAUUAACCCGGGAGAAGAUGUUAGGCAUUCUCGAGUUACGUGGUUCUAGCACGGUCGCUCAACUAUUUUAAUUUUCGUAUUAUCUAAUUUUAAUACAUAUUUUUUCCUAUGGUAUAUUUUUAACUUUUAACCGCCUUUGUUCAUUUUUAAAAAAAUUUAAUGUCAAUUAAAACAUGUCUUUAGAUCGUGCCACAUGAAAUGAACCCACAAUGCGAAACACAUUUUAUUCAAUGUUAUUACGUUUUGGAUUUGGUUCACAUGAAAUGCACACCCGAAUUUAGGAAGACAAUAUUAUCAAAAUAACGCGCCUAAAGCAACUACGCAUUGUUAAUUUUGCGAGGGCCAUGGUGAUUUGCUAAAUGGCUCACCUCAAAUUCUAAGGAUUUUAAAACAAAUAAUUAAAUGAGGGCCAAAAAUUUAAAACGCACCACGAUUACAUUUUAAAGGAUAUUCAAACUAAAGUUCGGGGAGCCACAGUCUAUCGAUAUUAUCUAACACGGCCCACUUCAAAUCAUUAGAGGAGUCUAAUUAAUUAACUAAAGGCCUAAAGUGAUUGAAAUUCCAUUAAGGUAAACCAAUAGCUUAACCUCUAGGAAUCAUUGAAAAAGGAAGUAACAUUUAGUUAAUGUGAAAUCAAAUCAAAAAAAUAAAAGGCCCAAAUCAUAUUCGAAGGAAGUUGUCAAGCAUGGGCCCAGAAAUUAGCCCAAAUUCAAAACCUCAAUGUGCUGAGUGAAGGACUCAGUAUCGAGUCCCUAUAGGCCAAUAACCAGUGAAAUUUAACAAACCCUGGGAUGGACCAAUACAUAUGCAAACAACCUCUGGACUCAUCUUACUUAACAGUAGGCAAUCACACGACAUUUAACAAAUGAUAGCACCGCAGAUUUAAAAUAACAUUGAAAAUCCAAGUUUAACAAUUAGCUAUAGGUCAACCAAAUCUCAAAACUAACUUGAAAUACAGGCUUGAGGACUUAAAUCUCAAAUAGACCUCAUAUGAACAGAACCUUAUUCAAUAAACUGACAACUUAUCAUUUUUCACAGC
Molecule: long non-coding RNA, 1278 nt
Filed under: Nicotiana benthamiana
Lineage: Eukaryota; Viridiplantae; Streptophyta; Magnoliopsida; Solanales; Solanaceae
Description: long non-coding RNA (NBEN_LNC002945)
Source: RNAcentral